This 449-nucleotide ribosomal RNA is filed under the name uncultured bacterium. RNAcentral describes it as "bacterial SSU rRNA". It matches the Rfam family "Bacterial small subunit ribosomal RNA", at positions 330 to 793 of the family's 1533-position model. The record is from RNAcentral.
GCCAGACUCCUACGGGAGGCAGCAGCGGGGAAUAUUGGACAAUGGGGGGAACCCUGAUCCAGCGACGCCGCGUGAGUGAAGAAGUAUUUCGGUAUGUAAAGCUCUAUCAGCAGGGAAGAAAGAAAUGACGGUACCUGACUAAGAAGCCCCGGCUAACUACGUGCCAGCAGCCGCGGUAAUACGUAGGGGGCAAGCGUUAUCCGGAUUUACUGGGUGUAAAGGGAGCGUAGACGGCAUGGCAAGUCAGAUGUGAAAGCCCGGGGCUCAACCCCGGGACUGCAUUUGAAACUGUCAGGCUGGAGUGCAGGAGAGGUAAGUGGAAUUCCUAGUGUAGCGGUGAAAUGCGUAGAUAUUAGGAGGAACACCAGUGGCGAAGGCGGCUUACUGGACUGUAACUGACGUUGAGGCUCGAAAGCGUGGGGAGCAAACAGGAUUAGAUACCCUGGUAC